Molecule: long non-coding RNA, 1468 nt
Organism: Spinacia oleracea (spinach)
Lineage: Eukaryota; Viridiplantae; Streptophyta; Magnoliopsida; Caryophyllales; Amaranthaceae
Exons: 6
Source: RefSeq, a predicted model, not a curated record
AUUUACUAAAAUACCCUCCUCAUCUUCUGAUUCAACUUAAGAAAGCGUUACACUCAUCUUCUGAGAAAAUUGAGAAAGCGUUACACUGAUUCAACCCUUCCCCGUAUUCCUCCCGUUUUCUCUCUCCUUCGAUCUUCUUCAUCUUCCUCAAAUCCUCUCCUUCCUCUCCUCGAUCUUCUUCAUCUUCUGCAACAUGGGUUUUAGGGUUUCUAGAAAUUUUUUCAUUGGAGGUGAGAUAUUCAAAUUGAAACUUUCGUAAUAAAUAAUCAAAUUUAGGGGUUUAGGAAAGGGGAUUGGAUUAUAGAUAAGAACAAAUUGAAGGUGGAUAAUGGAGGAGAGAGAAGACGAUGGUGGGUGAUUAACCUAGAAAUCCACGAUGGUGGUGAUUAUCCUCCGCCGCCGUCAACGAUAUAUGUGGAUUUUUAGGUUUUCUUAGCUUUUGAUUUCUGGGUUUUCUUAGCUUUUGAUUUAUGGGUUUUUGUUUGACAAUCUAAUACGAAUUGAUAACCGGUAUUUGAUUUGUGUUUUUACUAUGCUCUUGAUUUCGUGGAUGUGAAUGAUGUGUUUCAUUUUUAAUAUCCAGUUGAAGCCCUCAAAAAUGCAGUUGAAGGUUCAUCGGCAAGGCAGGGACAACUUCAGUGCAGAAGAAUAAAGAGAGUGAGGGUGUUGGAGUGGUGAUGAUGAAGAAGAUGAAAAGAGAAAGAGGAGGGUCUAAAUGAAACAAAUUCCAUCUAACGCGGCGUUACCAGUAAUUUGGGUUGAUUUGGAUCAUGAUGGUCGGAUUAGUGGUGCCGAAGCGGUCGCUUUUUUUUCAAGGAUCAAUUCUAAGCAUCCCUUUUGCUGUCUAUGGGCUUGCAGCUUCACGAUAUAACUUAUGUCCAGAAUUGAUUUUAUUAUAUGGAAGCAAGACCAGAAUCCCAGAUGAAGUUAGAAAGACAACAAUCUUGCAUAUAUUCUGGAAAGUUAUGGUGAAAUUCUCCAAGUAUUUAACUGAUGGUGUCUAUCUUGGGGGAUAUACUUUGUUGUCUUAUCAAUGCAAGGGACAGUCUUUGGAAAAAAAUAGACGACGAACAAGCAGCCUCAAGUACUAGAGUUGCAGGAUGGGUCCUUGAUUGCUGGUGAUUUUGAGAUUCUUUGUUAGAGCUAUGACUUGAGAAAGAAUGAAGCAACGUAUCCCUCGAACUCCUGUGCCCACAGUUGUUAGCUUAAAAUUUAAGGGCAUCUUUGUGUUGAAGGCUGCAAGUUCAUUUUACUAGGAUUUUUUUUUUGUUUAUUUGUGUUGUGGAGACUACAGAAUGUUUCAUCCAACGUAAAAUCAUGUAGCUCAUGAAGUUUCGAAGUAUAAUCAUGGUAAAGUAACAACAAAGUGUACAUUUUUUCAUACCUAUUAUUUUUUUAGGUGAUUAAAUGUAAUAAUACUAAUACAAUAUUUAGUUUUUAAAUACCCGCACGCAUCGCGUGCAUAUAA